UACGGGGGGAGCAAGCGUUGUUCGGAUUUACUGGGCGUAAAGGGUGCGUAGGCGGCCAGCGCAAGUCAGUUGUGAAAUCUCCGGGCUUAACUCGGAACGGUCAACUGAUACUGCGCGGCUAGAGUGCAGAAGGGGCAACUGGAAUUCUCGGUGUAGCGGUGAAAUGCGUAGAUAUCGAGAGGAACACCUGCGGCGAAGGCGGGUUGCUGGGCUGACACUGACGCUGAUGCGCGAAAGCCAGGGGAGCGAACGGG
RNAcentral lists this ribosomal RNA (254 nucleotides) under uncultured bacterium. RNAcentral's name for it is "partial 16S ribosomal RNA". It matches the Rfam family "Bacterial small subunit ribosomal RNA", at positions 524 to 776 of the family's 1533-position model. The record is from RNAcentral.